This is a long non-coding RNA of Ostrea edulis (European flat oyster), 2345 nucleotides long. RefSeq lists it as uncharacterized. The record is from RefSeq and is a predicted model, not a curated record. The transcript has 3 exons. NCBI's taxonomy places the organism in Eukaryota, Metazoa, Mollusca, Bivalvia, Ostreida, Ostreidae.
CAAGUUCAUCCUAGAAAUGCUUAAUUGGGCAUAGGUCUAGAGAUAAAGCCGACCAAGGCAGACCGUCAAUGUUAUUCUGUUCAAGAUACUCCAUAUAAACGUGCGCCACGUGACAUCGAGCGUUGUCCUGCUGAAACGUGUGGUGAUUUCCACUAUAGGAGAUAGGAUCUUGUCUCGAUAACGGACUCCAGUAUGACUUCCCUCAUCAUCUUUAGCUCUCUGCGUCCACAAUGUGUAAUUUCUGUCCAGACCAUUACGCCCCUACCACCAAACAUAUUGCUUUCAUGCAUACAAGCGUCAAGGUAUCGCUCGUUUUGCCAUCGAUAGAUUCUUAUCCUUCCAUCAUUACAACGAAGAAGAAACCGAGAUUUUAUCACUAAACAACACAUUUUGCCACCGAAUACGGUUCCAGAAUAUACGUGCAUUGGCGCAGCGUAAGCGUGCUGUACGAUGACGUCGUGUAAGCAUGAGUCCAACUACUGGGCGUCUUGAGCGUAACCCUACCUCCUUCAGACGAUUAUUUACCGUUUGGGUAGAAAUUUUGCUGCUGUGCCUACCAGCCGCCUGGUUUCCUGUAACAGUAGCAGGCAGACAUUGGCAUGUGAACGGGAUUGUAAGCCCAUAUUUUAAUUUAAAUUUGCAUAUAAUAUUUAAAUCGUAUCAUGCAUGACUAAUUUUAUUCACGUGCCAUGAAGCAGUGAUGAUAAUAACAUACCAGAGUCGGAUCCAGAAUUUCUGAAAGUGAAGUAUUAGCCAAAGUAAGCAGCCAUUUUGGGUGCCAAAUCUGAAGUUUUCAUCUAUAUAUGUUUGAUAGUGGCACAACAAAACACACACAUUUUCAUGGGCGCCGCCAUUACAGCUGACACUAUAAGUUACGGGAAUACUUACGGUGAUUCCCAAUGGUCCUCGAUAGCUCACGUAAGGUCAUGCAUUUUAAUGAGUUAUGCGAAGAUAUCGGGGUUGUAUACAGAAAGCAAUCGACCGUGGGUUCCCGACGAUGGAUUUAAUUGUGCUCUCGAAAUUGUUGUGAAAUAAUGCCACGUUUAAGUACGCAUGAGCAAAAUAGAGCAUUUGGGAUGGUUCAGGCAGGGAUGUACCAUAUUGAUGUUGUAGAUCGAUUUGGUGUGUCUUGGACAUACCUAUAUGAAUUGAUGAAAUACGAAGUCCGUUAAAAACACAUUGCUCACGUAUGGUGGAUAAAAUUGGCGAGACUACGAGUGCUGAACAUGUAAACCUGUACAUAGACUCGUGCGCGCAGUAGUAAACGCUUGAUAACACAGGCUUUUUCCUGCCCUGUCUUUAUAGACACAAAUACAACCUCCGCUUCAACAAUGCACAUAAAGCAUCUCGCUGAAAGUUUUGCAACUUGUCCAACUUAAACGUAAUCAAAAUCUUCGCUUGGAAAGCAUGCUAUUCUAUGCUCCCGAGGACUGGAAAUAAGGGGCUUUAUCAUUGGUUGAAUAUGGCAAUAAGGAAUGGUAAAACGACCAAUCGCAUAUAGAAGCCAAGGCACACUUCCCAGCGAAAAUACUGGCGUUGUGUCCCACGGUAGGUAAACGGAGAGCGACGAUGAAUUAAGGUAGAGACCGAUAGCAACCACGUGAUCAGUAAAAAUCGUGUAUUUUCACGUGAAAUUAUUUUUCGGAAUUCCGUACAUCUCCAUAGAGUAGUUGAAAAACAAAAAGGGGUUCCGAAAGUACAAGUUGUUGCUGUGACUGAAUCGAUGAUUGAGAGGGUCGUCUCGACGAAAGAUAGAGAAAUUUGGCCAUAGUUUAGAUUAGGAAUACGUCAAUGUAAUAAUAGUGGACUAAAUGUUUCGUCCGUGCAGAAUGGCACUUUUUACCUCACGAAAUUCACCACCAUGCAUAGCUGCGCUACGUAAACAAAGUUGUUGAUGUAGCGUGAGUUUCAAUACUGUUUAUGUAGUCAUUGAGAGUUUAAACAAAGUUUCUUCUGAGAAGAGGAAUUCGAUGGAUGCAUUCAACGUGGACAACGAAAUCAUAAUUUCGUUUGCAUCAUCCUAAGGACCAGUGCAAGUUGAAAUGGGCUUCCAGCCAACAACUUCAACAGCAAUUUGCCAUGAAAAUCACCAAGAAAGGUACUUCAUUUACAUUGAUGAUGUCAUAUCCCCUGGACCCCACAACUUUACAGGUUACAGAGAAAAUUCAAGAACUUCUGCAAAAUGUGGAACUUGGAUAGAAUCAAUAAUGUAUUUGUGAGCCCAGAGCAAUGGAUAUAUUGUGCAACAUACUAUUCUAAAGUGUGAAUUUAAUGGAAAACAAGUACAUGUACUCAUGUAUUACAUGUCUUUUUUAAGACAAUAAUAUUGAAUAAAUAUAGAGGAA